RNAcentral lists this ribosomal RNA (236 nucleotides) under uncultured bacterium. RNAcentral's name for it is "partial 16S ribosomal RNA". It matches the Rfam family "Bacterial small subunit ribosomal RNA", at positions 96 to 334 of the family's 1533-position model. The record is from RNAcentral.
CGGCGGACGGGUGAGUAACGCGUGGGUAACCUGCCUCGUACAGGGGAUAACAGUUGGAAACGGCUGCUAAUACCGCAUAAGCGCACAGUACCGCAUGGUACGGUGUGAAAAAUCCGGUGGUAUGAGAUGGACCCGCGUCUGAUUAGGUAGUUGGUGGGGUAACGGCCUACCAAGCCGACGAUCAGUAGCCGACCUGAGAGGGUGACCGGCCACAUUGGGACUGAGACACGGCCCAA